This 83-nucleotide transfer RNA is filed under the name Venturia inaequalis. RNAcentral describes it as "tRNA-Asp". It matches the Rfam family "tRNA". Rfam says of the family: Transfer RNA (tRNA) molecules are approximately 80 nucleotides in length. Their secondary structure includes four short double-helical elements and three loops (D, anti-codon, and T loops). Lineage: Eukaryota; Fungi; Ascomycota; Dothideomycetes; Venturiales; Venturiaceae. The record is from RNAcentral.
UCUUCCAUAGUCUAGGGGUCAUGAUAUCCGCUUGUCAACAGACAACAGCGCGGAUGGCCCGGGUUCGAAUCCCGGUGGGAGAG